UUUCCAAAGAUGGAUGCAAAUGCUGGGAAAGCAAGAGUUGAAUUGCUAGCCAUGAGGAAAACGUAAGCCUGAGCUGUUUGCUGGCCAUCUUUGCUUCCACAUGGGGAUGGCCUGCCUGGAAAUGAAGCCACACAGAGAAAACAGAAGAGCAGUGAAGAGAAGGGUAAAAGGAGAGAUCCCAUGACAUGAUUUGCACUCUUAGAUCCAGUUAUGCCUGAUGCAGGACCCACCCCUUGGACUUCCCAUUUCCAGGAGCUAAAACUAGACUGAGUUGAGUUUCUGUCACUGACAGUUGACAGAAAAUAUCAACAAUCCAGCCACAUGGAGCCUCAUGGCAGUACCACUAACCCUGGUCACCACAUGAAUACUGACCAGAGGCAUUUCACCUGAAUCAACUGUUUGUGUUCUUAACUCCAUCUCCUCAUCUGCUUCCUGGAAGACCCAACUGACAUAGAUGGUUACAAGAAAUGAUUUCCUCCUUAUAAAACUCUAGAUGUCAAUGUGAUCUUUCACAAGCACACUGAAAAAUUCACACCGUGGAAAAGAACUAAAGUCCCAUCCUAAUUCAUCAGAGCCUUCUGUUUCCUGUAACAAAGAAGAACUCACAAGAUCAGGAUUCCAAGGUAUAUAUCUAGAAGUGGAAGUGCUGGGUUAUACGCUUCUUGUAUAGAAGAUACCUAAAAAGUGUUUGCUGAAUGAAGAAAUAAAG
This 709-nucleotide long non-coding RNA is filed under the name Homo sapiens (human). RNAcentral's name for it is "HSALNT0390870". The record is from RNAcentral. Lineage: Eukaryota; Metazoa; Chordata; Mammalia; Primates; Hominidae.